Molecule: microRNA, 22 nt
Filed under: Cordylochernes scorpioides
Lineage: Eukaryota; Metazoa; Arthropoda; Arachnida; Pseudoscorpiones; Chernetidae
Source: RNAcentral
UUUAGUUCGGAUUUCAUCUCUC